AUAUACCAUAAAUUUAUAUAGAUGUCCUUCGACUGCUCGCCGAAAUCCUUUUUACUCCAGUCGGUAGGUCUCUAGAUGUUACAGAGAACCUUGAACAAUCCAAACUACUAAUCUUUGAUACCGCUUUAUACUCACGAUCUUGUAUCCACUGACUUUCUCGUUAGAUUAAUCCAAUAAAUUUCAUUCACUCUGCAUUCUCAAUCCUAUAGACACCCUUUUAAUUCUUCAUCACAGACGUAACUCGACACCCUUUUAAUUCUUCAUCACAGACGUAACUCGAUUUCACAAAACAGUCAAGAGUAAUCACACCCACUUCAUUAAAAUCCCGAUUCACUAGUACAACACUGGCUUUAGCAACAAUUGCCUCAGUCUUUCCAAAACUCUAUGAAGAAAAAAAAUCCAAUUCUCU
This 409-nucleotide long non-coding RNA is filed under the name Physcomitrium patens. Its description in RNAcentral is "long non-coding RNA (PPAT_LNC002586)". The record is from RNAcentral. Lineage: Eukaryota; Viridiplantae; Streptophyta; Bryopsida; Funariales; Funariaceae.